This 747-nucleotide long non-coding RNA is filed under the name Salmo salar (Atlantic salmon). RNAcentral describes it as "lncRNA (ENSSSAG00000086378.1)". Lineage: Eukaryota; Metazoa; Chordata; Actinopteri; Salmoniformes; Salmonidae. The record is from RNAcentral.
GGUCAGUAGGUAUAGGACUGGAAGGUUCUGGUCAGUAGGUAUAGGACUGGAAGGUUCUGGUCAGUAGGGAUAGGACUGGAAGGUUCUGGUCAGUAGGGAUAGGACUGGAAGGUUCUGGUCAGUAGGUAUAGGACUGGAAGGUUCUGGUCAGUAGGGAUAGGACUGGAAGGUUCUGGUCAGUAGGGAUAGGACUGGAAGGUUCUGGUCAGUAGGUAUAGGACUGGAAGGUUCUGGUCAGUAGGGAUAGGACUGGAAGGUUCUGGUCAGUAGGGAUAGGACUGGAAGGUUCUGGUCAGUAGGGAUAGGACUGGAAGGUUCUGGUCAGUAGGUAUAGGACUGGAAGGUUCUGGUCAGUAGGGAUAGGACUGGAAGGUUCUGGUCAGUAGGGAUAGGACUGGAAGGUUCUGGUCAGUAGGGAUAGGACUGGAAGGUUCUGGACAUAUGGAGAAUCUUCAUUACCAUCCAAGUCAAUAAUGUAUUAUUAGCUACGUAAUUCAGAAUCUCUCGUGACAGUUUUCUCAUUAAAUCCAGGAACUGAUUUGGUUCUGGGUGCCACGAUGACAUCAUUCAUCCAGUUGAUUAAUCCACACCUCCAUGCAAUGUGGUAUCCCUUAUUAUGUCUCCAUUUAGUUUGAAGGAUUUUGAAGACUGUAGAUAAAAGACCAUUGAAGGUGUCAUCUUGGAUUUCAUGUAUGGAAAACAUGCUAGAAUACAAUCAACACUAAAUGCAUUCAAGUUAUUGCUGCC